RNAcentral lists this transfer RNA (73 nucleotides) under Entomophthora muscae. RNAcentral describes it as "tRNA-Phe". It matches the Rfam family "tRNA". Rfam says of the family: Transfer RNA (tRNA) molecules are approximately 80 nucleotides in length. Their secondary structure includes four short double-helical elements and three loops (D, anti-codon, and T loops). The record is from RNAcentral. Lineage: Eukaryota; Fungi; Entomophthoromycota; Entomophthoromycetes; Entomophthorales; Entomophthoraceae.
GCGGCUAUAGCUCAGUUGGGAGAGCGUCAGACUGAAGAUCUGAAGGUCCCACGUUCAAUCCGCGUUGGGCGCA